UUGCUGGCGGGGUGGUGGCUCCGACACGGCCGACUGUGGCUCGGCCUGAUGCUCUCGGCGUGGGCGACGGUCACGUUUGUCGCCGGCGUU
RNAcentral lists this transfer RNA (90 nucleotides) under Luteitalea pratensis. RNAcentral describes it as "tRNA-His". Lineage: Bacteria; Pseudomonadati; Acidobacteriota; Vicinamibacteria; Vicinamibacterales; Vicinamibacteraceae. The record is from RNAcentral.